This 310-nucleotide signal recognition particle RNA is filed under the name Halovenus carboxidivorans. RNAcentral's name for it is "Archaeal signal recognition particle RNA". It matches the Rfam family "Archaeal signal recognition particle RNA". Lineage: Archaea; Methanobacteriati; Methanobacteriota; Halobacteria; Halobacteriales; Haloarculaceae. The record is from Rfam by way of RNAcentral.
AGAUGGACUAGGUCGGGCGGUUAGGCCCCGCUCCUCGCCACGUGUGGCCUCAAGUGGGACCGAACGCCGGGGGCGUGCGGUCAGACGGCCGCGGGCCCCGCAAGCCAACGUCGAAGCCUCGUCCUGCGGGGACGGAGGUCCGGAUGGCUGUGUCUGCAGGGACACAGGCGUCCGGUUAACCGGUGCCAGUCCGUCAGGCGCGGAAGCGAGCAGCGGAGCACUGGACAUCUGUCGCUCGUAGGGUCGCGGGGUGGAGGAGGCACGCGGGACUACCCGCGGUCAGACGCCGCGCAAUCCUGGCCGUCCACUU